AGCGAACGCUGGCGGCAGGCUUAACACAUGCAAGUCGAGCGCCCCGCCAGGGGAGCGGCAGACGGGAGAGUAACACGUGGGAACAUACCUUUUGGUUCGGAACAACUGAGGGAAACUUCAGCUAAUACCGGAUAAGCCCUUACGGGGAAAGAUUUAUCGCCGAAAGAUUGGCCCGCGUCUGAUUAGCUAGUUGGUGAGGUAACGGCUCACCAAGGCGACGAUCAGUAGCUGGUCUGAGAGGAUGAUCAGCCUCACUGGGACUGAGACACGGCCCAGACUCCUACGGGAGGCAGCAGUGGGGAAUAUUGGACAAUGGGGGCAACCCUGAUCCAGCCAUGCCGCGUGAGUGAUGAAGGCCUUAGGGUUGUAAAGCUCUUUUGCCCGGGGAGAUAAUGACGGUACCGGGAGAAUAAGCCCCGGCUAACUUCGUG
RNAcentral lists this ribosomal RNA (431 nucleotides) under uncultured bacterium. RNAcentral describes it as "partial 16S ribosomal RNA". It matches the Rfam family "Bacterial small subunit ribosomal RNA", at positions 29 to 507 of the family's 1533-position model. The record is from RNAcentral.